CCUACGGGAGGCAGCAGUGAGGAAUAUUGGUCAAUGGGCGAGAGCCUGAACCAGCCAAGUCGCGUGAAGGAUGACGGCCCUACGGGUUGUAAACUUCUUUUGUCAGGGAGCAAUUGGGUCCACGCGUGGGCUUAGCGAGAGUACCUGAAGAAAAAGCACCGGCUAACUCCGUGCCAGCAGCUGCGGUAAUACGGGGGAUGCGAGCGUUAUCCGGAUUUAUUGGGUUUAAAGGGUGCGUAGGCGGAAUAUCAAGUCAGCGGGAAAAAUUCGGGGCUCAACCCCGCCGUGCCGUUGAAACUGAUGUUCUUGAGUGGGCGAGAAGUAUGCGGAAUGCGUGGUGUAGCGGUGAAAUGCAUAGAUAUCACGCAGAACUCCGAUUGCGAAGGCAGCAUACCGGCGCCCAACUGACGCUGAAGCACGAAAGCGUGGGUAUCGAACAGGAUUAGAUACCCCAGUAGUC
Molecule: ribosomal RNA, 460 nt
Filed under: uncultured bacterium
Lineage: Bacteria
Description: partial 16S ribosomal RNA
Rfam family: Bacterial small subunit ribosomal RNA
Source: RNAcentral